RNAcentral lists this transfer RNA (73 nucleotides) under Ovis aries (sheep). It matches the Rfam family "tRNA". From Rfam's summary of the family: Transfer RNA (tRNA) molecules are approximately 80 nucleotides in length. Lineage: Eukaryota; Metazoa; Chordata; Mammalia; Artiodactyla; Bovidae. The record is from Rfam by way of RNAcentral.
UCCCUGGUGGCUCAGAAGUUAAAGCAUCUGCCUACAAUGCAGGUAGACUUGGGUUCGAUUCCUGGGUCGGGAA